This 453-nucleotide ribosomal RNA is filed under the name Halimeda lacunalis. RNAcentral's name for it is "eukaryotic LSU rRNA". The stretch from base 95 to 251 matches the Rfam family "5.8S ribosomal RNA". Lineage: Eukaryota; Viridiplantae; Chlorophyta; Ulvophyceae; Bryopsidales; Halimedaceae. The record is from RNAcentral.
UUUUCGUAGGUGAACCUGCGAAAGGAUCAUUAUCGGCACAUCCCAACACACAUCGUUCGAAAGGCGCGCCUCUUGGGCGACGCCGGAGCUUAGAAAGCAUGCGUGGUGGACGGCUCGGUUCCCGCGUCGAUGAAGGACGUAGCGAGAUACGAAAGGUGUUGCGAAUUGCAAGAUUUCGCGAGUCAAUGACCAUCCGAAUGCAUCGCCGCCCUCCCUUCGCCCUCGGGCGUGGGGAGGACGCGUCGGCGACAUCGCCCUGUGUGCAGCGCUCUCCUCCUUGAUCUCGGAGAGGCGGCAGUGGACGGACACCCGUCGGACAGGUCGGCGUGCCCGUUGAAGAGCUGCCCGUCGACGUCGCUCGGUCUAACGACCGUCGGCGAGAGACGCAUCGAAAGGUAAGUUGCGAUGUCGUCGGCGAGGAAACCCGCUGAACUUAAGCAUAUCAUUAAGCGG